RNAcentral lists this small RNA (86 nucleotides) under Flavobacterium sp. TAB 87. RNAcentral's name for it is "Flavo-1 RNA". It matches the Rfam family "Flavo-1 RNA". The record is from Rfam by way of RNAcentral. Lineage: Bacteria; Pseudomonadati; Bacteroidota; Flavobacteriia; Flavobacteriales; Flavobacteriaceae.
AUUUAGGAGCGUUAGGGAUGGAAGCGGUAUCCUUUUUUGUGGUUUUCUCUUCCACAAAAAAGAUUUAGUGUACAGCCCGGCCCUUG